UACAGAGGUCCCAAGCGUUGUUCGGAUUCACUGGGCGUAAAGGGUGCGUAGGUGGCGAGACAAGUCGGAUGUGAAAGCUCGGAGCUCAACUCCGAAAUGGCAUUGGAAACUGUCUUGCUUGAGGAUUGGAGGGGGGACUGGAAUACUUGGUGUAGCAGUGAAAUGCGUAGAUAUCAAGUGGAACACCAGUGGCGAAGGCGAGUCCCUGGACAAUUCCUGACACUGAGGCACGAAAGCUAGGGGAG
RNAcentral lists this ribosomal RNA (245 nucleotides) under uncultured bacterium. RNAcentral describes it as "partial 16S ribosomal RNA". It matches the Rfam family "Bacterial small subunit ribosomal RNA", at positions 524 to 768 of the family's 1533-position model. The record is from RNAcentral.